UUAUUCACUUAUCACAUUAGUUAUACCUUUUGUGGUUAAUAAUUUUCAAGAUAUAACUUUUUAUACUAGCAAAUAUGCAUGUCUAUUUGCAUGUUUGAUAAAAUAGUGAUAAUUAAUUCAAGUUAAUAGUUAUUUAUUAUAUUUUUUAUAUUAAUUAUUAAUUAAAAUAAGCAUAUUAAUAAUAACAAAAAAGAAGAUC
RNAcentral lists this long non-coding RNA (199 nucleotides) under Elaeis guineensis (African oil palm). Its description in RNAcentral is "long non-coding RNA (EGUI_LNC034294)". Lineage: Eukaryota; Viridiplantae; Streptophyta; Magnoliopsida; Arecales; Arecaceae. The record is from RNAcentral.